CUCAACACGAUGGCCACGGA
This 20-nucleotide microRNA is filed under the name Bombyx mori (domestic silkworm). RNAcentral describes it as "bmo-miR-2752". Lineage: Eukaryota; Metazoa; Arthropoda; Insecta; Lepidoptera; Bombycidae. The record is from miRBase by way of RNAcentral.